GGUUAAGCGACUAAGCGUACACGGUGGAUGCCCUGGCAGUCAGAGGCGAUGAAGGACGUGCUAAUCUGCGAUAAGCGUCGGUAAGGUGAUAUGAACCGUUAUAACCGGCGAUUUCCGAAUGGGGAAACCCAGUGUGAUUCGUCACACUAUCAUUAACUGAAUCCAUAGGUUAAUGAGGCGAACCGGGGGAACUGAAACAUCUAAGUACCCCGAGGAAAAGAAAUCAACCGAGAUUCCCCCAGUAGCGGCGAGCGAACGGGGAGCAGCCCAGAGCCUGAAUCAGUGUGUGUGUUAGUGGAAGCGUCUGGAAAGGCGCGCGAUACAGGGUGACAGCCCCGUACACAAAAAUGCACAUACUGUGAGCUCGAUGAGUAGGGCGGGACACGUGGUAUCCUGUCUGAAUAUGGGGGGACCAUCCUCCAAGGCUAAAUACUCCUGACUGACCGAUAGUGAACCAGUACCGUGAGGGAAAGGCGAAAAGAACCCCGGCGAGGGGAGUGAAAAAGAACCUGAAACCGUGUACGUACAAGCAGUGGGAGCACGCUUCGGCGUGUGACUGCGUACCUUUUGUAUAAUGGGUCAGCGACUUAUAUUCUGUAGCAAGGUUAACCGAAUAGGGGAGCCGAAGGGAAACCGAGUCUUAACUGGGCGUUAAGUUGCAGGGUAUAGACCCGAAACCCGGUGAUCUAGCCAUGGGCAGGUUGAAGGUUGGGUAACACUAACUGGAGGACCGAACCGACUAAUGUUGAAAAAUUAGCGGAUGACUUGUGGCUGGGGGUGAAAGGCCAAUCAAACCGGGAGAUAGCUGGUUCUCCCCGAAAGCUAUUUAGGUAGCGCCUCGUGAAUUCAUCUCCGGGGGUAGAGCACUGUUUCGGCAAGGGGGUCAUCCCGACUUACCAACCCGAUGCAAACUGCGAAUACCGGAGAAUGUUAUCACGGGAGACACACGGCGGGUGCUAACGUCCGUCGUGAAGAGGGAAACAACCCAGACCGCCAGCUAAGGUCCCAAAGUCAUGGUUAAGUGGGAAACGAUGUGGGAAGGCCCAGACAGCCAGGAUGUUGGCUUAGAAGCAGCCAUCAUUUAAAGAAAGCGUAAUAGCUCACUGGUCGAGUCGGCCUGCGCGGAAGAUGUAACGGGGCUAAACCAUGCACCGAAGCUGCGGCAGCGACACUAUGUGUUGUUGGGUAGGGGAGCGUUCUGUAAGCCUGUGAAGGUGUGCUGUGAGGCAUGCUGGAGGUAUCAGAAGUGCGAAUGCUGACAUAAGUAACGAUAAAGCGGGUGAAAAGCCCGCUCGCCGGAAGACCAAGGGUUCCUGUCCAACGUUAAUCGGGGCAGGGUGAGUCGACCCCUAAGGCGAGGCCGAAAGGCGUAGUCGAUGGGAAACAGGUUAAUAUUCCUGUACUUGGUGUUACUGCGAAGGGGGGACGGAGAAGGCUAUGUUGGCCGGGCGACGGUUGUCCCGGUUUAAGCGUGUAGGCUGGUUUUCCAGGCAAAUCCGGAAAAUCAAGGCUGAGGCGUGAUGACGAGGCACUACGGUGCUGAAGCAACAAAUGCCCUGCUUCCAGGAAAAGCCUCUAAGCAUCAGGUAACAUCAAAUCGUACCCCAAACCGACACAGGUGGUCAGGUAGAGAAUACCAAGGCGCUUGAGAGAACUCGGGUGAAGGAACUAGGCAAAAUGGUGCCGUAACUUCGGGAGAAGGCACGCUGAUAUGUAGGUGAAGCGACUUGCUCGUGGAGCUGAAAUCAGUCGAAGAUACCAGCUGGCUGCAACUGUUUAUUAAAAACACAGCACUGUGCAAACACGAAAGUGGACGUAUACGGUGUGACGCCUGCCCGGUGCCGGAAGGUUAAUUGAUGGGGUUAGCGGUAACGCGAAGCUCUUGAUCGAAGCCCCGGUAAACGGCGGCCGUAACUAUAACGGUCCUAAGGUAGCGAAAUUCCUUGUCGGGUAAGUUCCGACCUGCACGAAUGGCGUAAUGAUGGCCAGGCUGUCUCCACCCGAGACUCAGUGAAAUUGAACUCGCUGUGAAGAUGCAGUGUACCCGCGGCAAGACGGAAAGACCCCGUGAACCUUUACUAUAGCUUGACACUGAACAUUGAGCCUUGAUGUGUAGGAUAGGUGGGAGGCUUUGAAGUGUGGACGCCAGUCUGCAUGGAGCCGACCUUGAAAUACCACCCUUUAAUGUUUGAUGUUCUAACGUUGACCCGUGAUCCGGGUUGCGGACAGUGUCUGGUGGGUAGUUUGACUGGGGCGGUCUCCUCCUAAAGAGUAACGGAGGAGCACGAAGGUUGGCUAAUCCUGGUCGGACAUCAGGAGGUUAGUGCAAUGGCAUAAGCCAGCUUGACUGCGAGCGUGACGGCGCGAGCAGGUGCGAAAGCAGGUCAUAGUGAUCCGGUGGUUCUGAAUGGAAGGGCCAUCGCUCAACGGAUAAAAGGUACUCCGGGGAUAACAGGCUGAUACCGCCCAAGAGUUCAUAUCGACGGCGGUGUUUGGCACCUCGAUGUCGGCUCAUCACAUCCUGGGGCUGAAGUAGGUCCCAAGGGUAUGGCUGUUCGCCAUUUAAAGUGGUACGCGAGCUGGGUUUAGAACGUCGUGAGACAGUUCGGUCCCUAUCUGCCGUGGGCGCUGGAGAACUGAGGGGGGCUGCUCCUAGUACGAGAGGACCGGAGUGGACGCAUCACUGGUGUUCGGGUUGUCAUGCCAAUGGCACUGCCCGGUAGCUAAAUGCGGAAGAGAUAAGUGCUGAAAGCAUCUAAGCACGAAACUUGCCCCGAGAUGAGUUCUCCCUGACUCCCUGAGAGUCCUGAAGGAACGUUGAAGACGACGACGUUGAUAGGCCGGGUGUGUAAGCGCAGCGAUGCGUUGAGCUAACCGGUACUAAUGAACCGUGAGGCUUAACCUU
RNAcentral lists this ribosomal RNA (2905 nucleotides) under Escherichia coli. RNAcentral describes it as "23S ribosomal RNA". It matches the Rfam family "Bacterial large subunit ribosomal RNA". The record is from RNAcentral. Lineage: Bacteria; Pseudomonadati; Pseudomonadota; Gammaproteobacteria; Enterobacterales; Enterobacteriaceae.